GAGGGUUUCCGCCCUUUAGUGCUGCAGCAAACGCAUUAAGCACUCCGCCUGGGGAGUACGGUCGCAAGACUGAAACUCAAAGGAAUUGACGGGGGCCCGCACAAGCGGGGGAGCAUGUGGUUUAAUUCGAAGCAACGCGAAAAACCUUACCAGGUCUUGACAUCCUCUGACAACCCUAAAAAUAGGGCUUCCCCUUCGGGGGCAAAGUGACAGGUGGGGCAUGGUUGUCGUCAGCUCGUGUCGUGAAAUGUUGGGUUAAGUCCCCCAACGAGCGCAACCCUUGAUCUUAUUUGCCAGCUUUCAGUUGGGCACUCUAAGGGGACUGCCGGUGACAAACCGGAGGAAGGGGGGGAUGACGUCAAAUCAUCUUGCCCCUUAUGACCUGGGCUACACACGUGCUACAAUGGGCAAAACAAAGGGCAGCAAAGCCGCGAGGCUAAGCCAAUCCCACAAAUCUGUUCUCAUUUCGGAUCGCAGUCUGCAACUCGACUGCGUGAAGCUGGAAUCGCUAGUAAUCGCGGAUCAGCAUGCCGCGGUGAAUACGUUCCCGGGCCUUGUACACACCGCCCGUCACCCCACGAGAGUUUGUAACACCCGAAGUCGG
RNAcentral lists this ribosomal RNA (604 nucleotides) under Bacillus licheniformis. Its description in RNAcentral is "bacterial SSU rRNA". It matches the Rfam family "Bacterial small subunit ribosomal RNA", at positions 826 to 1430 of the family's 1533-position model. Lineage: Bacteria; Bacillati; Bacillota; Bacilli; Caryophanales; Bacillaceae. The record is from RNAcentral.